This 1457-nucleotide long non-coding RNA is filed under the name Equus asinus (donkey). Its description in RNAcentral is "lncRNA (ENSEASG00005029452.1)". Lineage: Eukaryota; Metazoa; Chordata; Mammalia; Perissodactyla; Equidae. The record is from RNAcentral.
AACCUGCCCUCGCUUCAUUUUCAGAGGGUAGUUCAAGUCCAGACUUCGCUUUAAGUUACUAGCCAGGUGUAAUCUUAGAAAAGUCUUACAGCAAGAAGGAUACUAAAAUAAAUUAUAUUCCUCACUUCCCCAGCUAGUCUCAAAGCUGUAAUUGGUAUUCAUUAUCUUCCUCUUCUUUUCUCUCCUUCCCAGUUCCCCCUGGCACUAUCGCUGAUUUGAGCUACUUGUAUGGUAGAGCUGUCUGCCAUGUUGUGACCCACCUUCUGGAGAGGACUACAUGACAAGGCACUGAAGAAGGCCUCUGGACGACAGCCAAUGAGAAACUGAGAACCUCCAUCCAACAAUCAGCAAGGAACUAAAUUCUACCAAAAGUCAUUUGAACGAGCUUAGAAGUGGAUCCUUGCUCCCAUUUGAACCUUGAGACUGCUGUAGCCUCUGCUGACACCUUCAGUCUUGUGAAAGAGACCAGAGCCAGAGAACCCAGCUAACACUUCCAGAUUCCUGACUGACUAAACUGUGAGGACGUCCAGCCAGCUCAAAACACAGUCUUUGGACACAAUAUCAACAUGAAGACUUUGAAGGGACUCCAUGGAAUUGUGAUAGCUGCACUUUUUUAAACCAUCCAGCACUAAAUCACUGUGAGGAGUGUGAGAUGCCAAAAUCUGCUUGAAAUUCAGAAGAAUCUGCACCAUAUGGAGAGUAAAAUUUUGAGCUCUGAGACCUUGAGAAUCCUUUGUCCAGCCCAGCCUUUUCAUUUCAGAUUAUAUGGGAGAAGGAGUGAUACGGUAUUCUUUUGUGGUUUCUCAAGGAAAAAUUGGGGGUUUGUUUCCUUUAAGAGUGAAAGGUAAAAAAAGAUAUUUGGAACUGGGAAAGGAUUCAUUUCUGAAAGAUGGGUACAUAGAAAUCAGCACUUUUUUUGUGGAAUCCCUAUUGCUAAAGUUACUGCUGUAUAGCCUUUAUUUUUAAACUAGUACUUUGAAUUGUGAUAUGAAAUUUUACAGUUUCUUCAGAAAAACUGAAAUGCCACAUCAGACUCACUUGGUCACAGCUCUCUGGAAAACAAAGGCUCCUUAUGCUUCUUUACAUUGCUUCAUGCUGAAAAGGUAGAUAGGAAAAAAAGCACCCAGCAUAGUUUUGUUAAUUUGUUUGUUUUAUGCACAGUAAUAAGGGUGUUUAAUUUUUGCUUUUAUCAGAGGCAGUUUCAAAUACACCUGUACAAAAAGAGGACAUUUUACUUUGUAGCAGUAGUGUAUUAGGCAUAUUUUCUAAAUAUUCCCUUUGUUCUAAAUUACAGCCAGAGAUGAUAAGAUCUCUUUUGCAUGUAUAAUGACCAUCAGGUUGUAUUAACACUGGUAACUAACUCCUAAUUAUGCCUCAUAAUCUUUAAUGUUAUUUUAAGUUGCGUGUUUUUAUUGGACUGUUUGCUUUCAAACAUAAAAACAAGUCCCUAACAAGGC